Molecule: RNase P RNA, 374 nt
Filed under: Salmonella enterica
Lineage: Bacteria; Pseudomonadati; Pseudomonadota; Gammaproteobacteria; Enterobacterales; Enterobacteriaceae
Description: RNase P RNA component class A
Rfam family: Bacterial RNase P class A
About the family: Ribonuclease P (RNase P) is a ubiquitous endoribonuclease, found in archaea, bacteria and eukarya as well as chloroplasts and mitochondria.
Source: RNAcentral
GAAGCUGACCAGACAGUCGCCGCUUCGUCGUCGUCCUUUCGGGGAGACGGGCGGAGGGGAGGAAAGUCCGGGCUCCAUAGGGCAGGGUGCCAGGUAACGCCUGGGGGGGAAACCCACGACCAGUGCAACAGAGAGCAAACCGCCGAUGGCCCACGUAAGUGGGAUCAGGUAAGGGUGAAAGGGUGCGGUAAGAGCGCACCGCGCGGCUGGUAACAGUCCGUGGCACGGUAAACUCCACCCGGAGCAAGGCCAAAUAGGGGUUCAUAAGGUACGGCCCGUACUGAACCCGGGUAGGCUGCUUGAGCCAGUGAGCGAUUGCUGGCCUAGAUGAAUGACUGUCCACGACAGAACCCGGCUUAUCGGUCAGUUUCACC